This 464-nucleotide ribosomal RNA is filed under the name uncultured bacterium. RNAcentral's name for it is "bacterial SSU rRNA". It matches the Rfam family "Bacterial small subunit ribosomal RNA", at positions 331 to 792 of the family's 1533-position model. The record is from RNAcentral.
CCAGACUCCUACGGGAGGCAGCAGUGAGGAAUAUUGGUCAAUGGCCGAGAGGCUGAACCAGCCAAGUCGCGUGAGGGAUGACGGCCCUACGGGUUGUAAACCUCUUUUGCCGGGGAGCAAAGAGCGGGACGCGUCCCGCCUCGAGAGUACCCGGAGAAAAAGCAUCGGCUAACUCCGUGCCAGCAGCCGCGGUAAUACGUAGGGGGCAAGCGUUAUCCGGAUUUACUGGGUGUAAAGGGUGCGCAGGUGGCAGGGCAAGUCAGAUGUGAAAGCCCGGGGCUCAACCCCGGUAUUGCAUUUGAAACUGUCCGGCUAGAGUGCAGGAGAGGUAAGCGGAAUUCCUAGUGUAGCGGUGAAAUGCGUAGAUAUUAGGAGGAACACCAGUGGCGAAGGCGGCUUACUGGACUGUAACUGACACUGAGGCACGAAAGCGUGGGGAGCAAACAGGAUUAGAUACCCCUGUA